Molecule: unclassified non-coding RNA, 240 nt
Filed under: soil metagenome
Description: partial contains 5.8S ribosomal RNA, internal transcribed spacer 2, and large subunit ribosomal RNA
Source: RNAcentral
AACCAUAGAAACCUGCGGAGUACCUGCGGAGGGAUCAUUAUAGUUUAUGGAAUCUCCAUUCUAUAAACCCACUCUGCGUAUCUUGUAACUGUUGCUUCCAUGGGACUUGGUUCCGCCACACCGGCUUCACGGCUGGUGAGCGCCCAUGGAAGGAGAAACAAAACUCUUCUUUGAAAUGUAGUCAGUCUGAACAAGUUUUUAUAAACGUUAAAACUUUUAACAAUGGAUCUCAGAUCGGAA